UGGCGUCGCGCCGGUGUCCACGCCGUCAGCCACAGUGAGAAAUUGACAAUCGAGCGGACGUCACGUCGGCGGCGGCGCAAAAACUUGCGGUUUUUUCUUCCUUUGCAUUGAUUGAUGGCGCGAGCCGGGUAACGGCGAAAUUAUGCUACAAGACUAGAGCAAAAAUGACACGAAAGAACCAAGAAUUCCGAGGAGGAAGAAGAAGAAGAAGAACUGGCCUAUACAUAUGCUAUAUCUAUGUUACUGGCACGCAGAGAUGUAUGAGCAAGCAGGCAGGCGUCGAUCGAUCGAUCCUCCAUUGUAAGUCCUUUCCGGCCGGGCAGUCGAGCGGGUGCGCCGCCGCGGAAAGCAGGAACAAGAGAGGACGAUCGAUCCUUUCCUCGCUGAAGAACCCAGUCGGCCGCCUGCCGGUGAUCCGUCCAAGAAACCAAGAACUGACCCCGCCGUCGUCG
Molecule: long non-coding RNA, 452 nt
Filed under: Triticum aestivum (bread wheat)
Lineage: Eukaryota; Viridiplantae; Streptophyta; Magnoliopsida; Poales; Poaceae
Description: long non-coding RNA (TAES_LNC008892)
Source: RNAcentral